UACGGAGGGGGCUAGCGUUAUUCGGAAUCACUGGGCUUAAAGGGUGCGUAGGCGGGUUGCCAAGUCUGUGGUGAAAUCCUCCAGCUUAACUGGAGAACGGCCGUGGAUACUGGCGACCUCGAGUAGGGUAGGGGCUUGCGGAACUGUGCGUGGAGCGGUGAGAUGCGUUGAUAUGCACAGGAACUCCGGUGGCGAAGGCGGCGAGCUGGACCCUAACUGACGCUGAGGCACGAAAGCCAGGGGAGCGAACGGG
This 253-nucleotide ribosomal RNA is filed under the name uncultured bacterium. RNAcentral describes it as "partial 16S ribosomal RNA". It matches the Rfam family "Bacterial small subunit ribosomal RNA", at positions 524 to 776 of the family's 1533-position model. The record is from RNAcentral.